GAUGAACGCUGACAGAAUGCUUAACACAUGCAAGUCAACUUGAAUUUGGGUUUUUAACUUAGGUUUGGGUGGCGGACGGGUGAGUAACGCGUAAAGAACUUGCCUCACAGCUAGGGACAACAUUUGGAAACGAAUGCUAAUACCUAAUAUUAUGAUAAUAGGGCAUCCUAUAAUUAUGAAAGCUAUAAGCGCUGUGAGAGAGCUUUGCGUCCCAUUAGCUAGUUGGAGAGGUAACGGCUCACCAAGGCGAUGAUGGGUAGCCGGCCUGAGAGGGUGAUCGGCCACCAGGGGACUGAGACACGGCCCGUACUCCUACUUUAGGCAACAGUGGGUAAUAUCUGACAAUGGUCCGAGAGUCUGAUCCAGCACUUCUGUGUGCACGAAGAAUUUUUUCGGAAUGUAAAGUGCUUUCAGUUGGGAAGAAACAAAUGACGGUACCAACAGAAGAAGUGACGGCUAAAUACGUG
RNAcentral lists this ribosomal RNA (467 nucleotides) under uncultured bacterium. RNAcentral describes it as "partial 16S ribosomal RNA". It matches the Rfam family "Bacterial small subunit ribosomal RNA", at positions 28 to 507 of the family's 1533-position model. The record is from RNAcentral.